UAGCCGUAAACGAUACUCGUUAGGUGUCGGCCACGGUGCGACCGUUGUCGGUGCCGUAGGGAAGCCGUGAAGCGAGCCACCUGGGAAGUACGGUCGCAAGGCUGAAACUUAAAGGAAUUGGCGGGGGGAGCACCACAACGGGUGGAGCUUGCGGUUUAAUUGGACUCAACGCCGGGAAGCUCACCGGAUAAGACAGCGGAAUGAUUGCCGGGCUGAAGACCCUGCAUGACCAGCUGAGAGGUGGUGCAUGGCGUCAGUGACU
This 262-nucleotide ribosomal RNA is filed under the name uncultured archaeon. RNAcentral describes it as "partial 16S ribosomal RNA". It matches the Rfam family "Archaeal small subunit ribosomal RNA", at positions 748 to 1008 of the family's 1478-position model. The record is from RNAcentral.